RNAcentral lists this small RNA (770 nucleotides) under Pongo abelii (Sumatran orangutan). RNAcentral describes it as "retained intron". Lineage: Eukaryota; Metazoa; Chordata; Mammalia; Primates; Hominidae. The record is from RNAcentral.
CUUAGCAUUGAGAGUAAACAUGAGGUUACGAUCCUGGGAGGACUCAAUGAAUUUGUAGUGAAGUUUUAUGGACCACAAGGAACACCAUAUGAAGGCGGAGUAUGGAAAGUUAGAGUGGACCUACCUGAUAAAUACCCUUUCAAAUCUCCAUCUAUAGGAUUCAUGAAUAAAAUUUUCCAUCCCAACAUUGAUGAAGCGUCAGGAACUGUGUGUCUAGAUGUAAUUAAUCAAACUUGGACAGCUCUCUAUGGUGAGUUUGGCCAUGGAAUAUUUUUUGGAGAUGUUGAGACAUUGCCUAAAAAAUGUUGUUUGGCUUUUCUUUUCUGGUUUAAGAUGUUUUGUUGGUAAUGGGAAGGGAUUUUUGAGGGACCGACUGGGAAAGUUUGAUCAGUGGAAAAAAUAUUUUCUCUUAAGUACAAAUAUAUCAGUUUAACUGUGGAAGUUUAAAAUGAUUUUUUGAGAUUCCAAACUUAAGGUAUAGUGAUACAUGUGCACACACAUGAAUACAUGUGCAAACAUUUUAUAUGUAUGUACUCGAAGCACAUAAUAUAUACAUAUUUUGGUUUUGGAAAAAACUAGAACUACUUAGGAAUGUCCCUCUGAAAUGAGAGAGAAAUGAUAUAGUAAGAGGUUUUAGGGGAUCAUCUUUUCAAAGGCCAAAACCUCCUUAUGAAGGAAGAGUAAUUUAGCCUUACCUUCAGUGCUGAAAUUGACACCCCAUCUCUUACAGGGAAUCAACAAAUGAAUUGCCCAGCUCUGCAAAAUACUAU